RNAcentral lists this ribosomal RNA (451 nucleotides) under uncultured bacterium. RNAcentral's name for it is "partial 16S ribosomal RNA". It matches the Rfam family "Bacterial small subunit ribosomal RNA", at positions 28 to 523 of the family's 1533-position model. The record is from RNAcentral.
GAUGAACGCUGGCGGCGUGCCUAAUACAUGCAAGUCGAACGAGCUCUUCGGAGCUAGUGGCGGACGGGUGAGUAACACGUUGGUACCUACCCCUAAGUGGGGAAUAACUGCCCGAAAGGGUGGCUAAUACCGCAUAAUCCCGCAAGGGUAAAGCAGUAAUGCGCUUAGGGAGGGGCCUGCGUCCCAUUAGCAUGUUGGUAGUGUAAUGGACUACCAAGGCGACGAUGGGUAGCUGGAUCGAGAGGUUGACCAGCCACACUGGGACUGAGAUACGGCCCAGACUCCUACGGGAGGCAGCAGUAAGGAAUCUUCCACAAUGGACGAAAGUCUGAUGGAGCAACGCCGCGUGCAGGAUGACGGCCUUCGGGUUGUAAACUGCUUUUAUAUGGGAAGAUUAUGACGGUACCAUAUGAAUAAGGACCGGCUAACUACGUGCCAGCCGCCGCAGUAA